Molecule: ribosomal RNA, 116 nt
Filed under: Pteropus alecto (black flying fox)
Lineage: Eukaryota; Metazoa; Chordata; Mammalia; Chiroptera; Pteropodidae
Source: RNAcentral
GUCUAUGGCCAUGCCACCCUGAACAAGCCGUAUGUCUGAUAUUGGAAGCUAAGCAGUGUUGGGCCUGGUUAGUACUUGGAUGAGAGACCACCUAGGAAGACAAAGUCCUGUAGGCG